CCUGAUGCCUAUUAUAUUAUUGCGGUUGGGAAAAGGGAUUCCAUGUAGGCCAUGAUCCAGCCAUUGGUGGUAUUCUUGGGGCAUCAACCUCAUCAUUAGAAUCCCCAUAAGAGGAACCCAUCCAUCAAUCAUCGACAGCUUUCCACAGAGAAGGGAUCAGCUGAGUGGAUGUCUUUAUCCAAAAGCAUCGCACCCAAUGGCCAAAGUGCCACCUGGCC
Molecule: long non-coding RNA, 218 nt
Filed under: Elaeis guineensis (African oil palm)
Lineage: Eukaryota; Viridiplantae; Streptophyta; Magnoliopsida; Arecales; Arecaceae
Description: long non-coding RNA (EGUI_LNC016434)
Source: RNAcentral